This 486-nucleotide ribosomal RNA is filed under the name uncultured bacterium. RNAcentral's name for it is "partial 16S ribosomal RNA". It matches the Rfam family "Bacterial small subunit ribosomal RNA", at positions 28 to 507 of the family's 1533-position model. The record is from RNAcentral.
GACGAACGCUGGCGGCGUGCCUAAUACAUGCAAGUCGAACGCAUUUUCUUUCACCGUAGCUUGCUCCACCGAAAGAAAAUGAGUGGCGAACGGGUGAGUAACACGUGGGUAACCUGCCCAUCAGCGGGGGAUAACACUUGGAAACAGGUGCUAAUACCGCAUAAUUCCAUUUACUGCAUGGUAGAUGGAUGAAAGGCGCUUUUGCGUCACUUGUGGAUGGACGUGCGGUGUAUUAGCUAGCUGGUGGGGUAACGGCCUACCAAGGCUGCGAGUGGUAGCCGGCCUGAGAGGUGGACAGGCCACAGAGGGACUGAGAUGCGGCGCAGACUCAUAUGGGGGAGAGGAGUGGGGAAUAUUACACGAUGGGCGGAAACAUAAUGCAGCAACGACGGGUGAUGGAUGACGGCCGUAGGGUUUUAAACCGAUUUAGAAUGUAACGAAGCGUGCGUGACGGUAAUGUGUAAAGAAGCCCCGGCUAACUACGUG